RNAcentral lists this transfer RNA (57 nucleotides) under Angulomastax meiospina. RNAcentral describes it as "tRNA-Pro". Lineage: Eukaryota; Metazoa; Arthropoda; Insecta; Orthoptera; Eumastacidae. The record is from RNAcentral.
CAGGAGGUAGUUUAUAAUAAAAUUUUGGUUUUGGAGACCAAUGAAAUGGUUAAUCUU